AGAAUAGCACUCAGUCUGUGUAUUAUGAAAUUGUCAUUCUGUGCCACUGUUCAGCAUAAAUGGACUAAUCUUCAGUUUGAAAAUGAGUAGAGCUUGACUGCUAAAGAAUAGGUCAUUUGGCUUCUGGCAGCAGCAGAAGAUGCUGUAGUAUUAGCUGUAAGAACUUAUGCAUUCUUGGUAAGGAGAUAAAAAUUAUUAAAUAGCACUGCUUGCUUCUCUGUCUUUAAAGUAAUUCAUAUUUGGACUCAGAUUCAUCUGAGCAUUUGCAUAAUUCCUCAGGCCAUUCCUAUUCAGCCAUGCAUUCAGCUUGCGCUUAAAUUUAAGCAAAUGCUGAAGUCCUUUUCCAUUCCUGGGGCUUCAGCCUUGAUGAACAAGGUCUUGGCCAUUAGUUUAUAAUGUUUCAGUAGCUUCUGAGAUUUCUAUGCUGUAGCAAAUGGAAGAUUGCUGUAUUUUUUAUAUUAUGGGCUGAAUUUCUUUAAUGACUCAGAAAAUUUAACGGUGAAGAUCUUGGGGCCCUGGAGAGGCUCUUUUUCAACAGAGUCUUCUGUUGGAAAUCCAAGAGCCAGAGAACCAGGGUCAUGUCUCCCAGGAGCUUCAUGGACUCUGCAAAACUGGCAGUCACAUUGGCUGCCUCCCUUCCACUGGCUUCUUUCUCAAAAGAAAUGAGAUAAGGGGAAGGUUUUGUUGGGAUCUUUGGGACGUGGAACUCUUUAGGCCAAAUUCUGUUAUGAAUUAUGCCUUAUGAUUCCAGAGUAACUUCUUAACUUUGGUAGGAUUGUGCCAGGUGGUAGACAUUGUUGAGGCAAAUUGUGGUUUAAAAAAGGGAACUCUGAAAAAAUUGCAUUACCAUAUGUAUUUCUAUCCAAAUUCAGGAGGGGAGAUAGUGAAGAACCUUGAUAUACUGAUUUUUUUGUUUUCUGGGGAUGGAAAAUUCAAAACCUAUUGCCUGGCAUUAUUAAGCUGUUGUGUGUCAGUUCAGACAGUAUCAGAACAUGUCAGCCAAUACAGUUCUACUGCUUCAUGAAGACGUGUGGGAAUUGGAAAUUUUUCAAUUGUUAUUGACCCCAAUCUAAAAUGAAAUGUUUGGUUACGGCUUUUUGAAGAAAAUACAAUAAAACAAUUGACUUUUUUUUUCUUUGGGGGAAAAAAAAAUAAUAAUUUGGUAGGAAACCCUCUACAGAAUAGAUUCAUGGUCUGAAGCCUUGUUCACAGUGGGACUGGUGGGAAUUUUGCUGUUGACUUUCAUGUAGCCAGAAUUUUACUGAGGUUUCCCUUGCAGCAUGAGGGAUUGUGUUGCUCUUUAUCUGGAGGUACCAGUGUAACUUCAAAACUUCUUGGCCCACGUCAGAAAUAAAAAGUGUUCUUCCAAAUCUCAUUGAUUUGUUGGAGACCAGAAACAUAUUCUUCUAAUACACCAGUAGCAGAAGAAAGGACAAAUGUCCAGAUUAGUGCUCUACUUUGCUGGAUUGUCUUCAGAUCAUUGGUUUAAAAUGUCUGCUCUGUGAAGAGGAAUUAUUGCAGGUUCCAGGUGUAGGUAUUUACAGCAAGAUAAUACUUCUGUUUUAUUCUAGUAUUGUGCAUCAUACCAUCUCUGUUUGCGUGGUCCCAGCACAUGAGAUGAUUCACCUGCUGCUGAAUUUUCCUGUUCUUAUAGCAGAUUUUAUUAAGCUCCAGAAAGGCCUACUUGGAAGUUGGUUUUCCGUCCCAAACUGGGGUCCCAUUAUUAACGAUCUUUUAGGAGCAAAGGAACAGUUCAUUCCAUUGCUAGGUGACUGGAGUCCUUUGUUACCUUUUCUUUACCUGGGACAAGGUGUCAACGAGUGAGAGAGAGAAGAGAAAGGACUGGAAGAAUCAACAGAAGGGGAAAAUCUUUCUAAGGGAAGAGGAGUAUUCAGUGAGCAAUUUUUAUGAGAUAUACACAUUUGGAAAUUUGCUAAAAUAUGUUUGCAAUGUUUUUUAUAAGCAACAUUAAAUGAAAGUACAAUUAGUUCUGGACUUAACCUACCCACUUGUCCUUGGAUUUACGGCUAGCUCAGAGCAAUUUUCCCAUUUUGCAGUUCGAGCCCAUCUAUGUGCUUUACUGGCAGGUUCCAUCACACUGAGAACAGUACUGAUAGACACAAAAAGAGCAGAAGUUGUUCCUAAGGAGGGGCCUGAGAGAGGAGUUUCAAAAGCAGCAUGUUCCCAAAGAGGGGCCAAAUUUCUCAGAAGGACUGAACAACAAGCACUCCUGCUGUGACAGAUGGCUAUUUCAAAAGAUCGUCAUUAAAACUGGCUGAAGAUUGUCUAUUCUGUUGUUUUUGACAAGAACUUGGGGUUUCUGUUAAACAUAAUAACAGUGCAGAUUUCCUUUCAGCAUUCUAUUUUUAUGUGAGAGUUUAAAUUGUUUUGGUCAGGGAAACUCACUUUGGUAAUGCUUUCAUUUACAACUCACUGUGCUGGAGAGCCAUGUGAUAGAUGCUUCCAAAAGUCUGAUACCUGUUCUAGUUCCUCAAUGGUAUGAAGCUUUUCUGAAGUUCUAGCUGAACACAGGCAUGCUCUGUCUGAUGUGGUAGACACAGCACUUGAAUUUGUUGCUUCCAGUCAGGUUUUCUUGGGUAAGUUUCUGUUUAAGUUUUCUAGAGUGGGUUUAGCUUUGAGAUACUUGAUUUGGGAUCCUGAGCACACAAUCUUCAGUGUAUGAAUGCCUUCACUUGUGGCUGUUCACACUCAGGAUUGGGAGUGAAAGUUGGGGGGUGUUUGUAUGUAGCUGGGCACUCAGAAAGGGGGAUUGUGGAACUUGAGGCUGUUUCUCAAAAUGUGUGCUUUAACAUUUCCAUGGUUUAACCUUCCCAUCCAUAAACUGAAGGUAAUUCUUCAUCAUCAGCAGAAGACUUACAAAGUUCAGUGUUUAUGCAUCCAACCUUGGAGAAGAAGAAAUGAAAAAAAUAAAAAAAAAAAAAAUUCUCUUCCAUCUGAAUGUCUAAAAGAUCUUUUAAACUGUUAAUUAAUUGAGCAAUCAUAAUGAUGCACCUGUGGGGAUGAAGGGGAGGAAUAAUUUACAGGUGGGAGAAAUGAGGCAUGAAUGACUUCCUAGCCUUACCUCUGCCAUGCUGUUAGUCUGUGUCAGAUCCAGACAGAUACCUUCUGUCCUGUCUCCUGCAUCUGUAAUGGGUGGUUGGGAACAUCAUCUUCCUCCCCACUUCCUCCAGUUCUUCUAUAGAGGACCUAUGUCCUUAUCACGAGGCUGAUGUUUCAUGGAACUACAAGAAGUCCAUGUGUCUCAUCUCUCUGAAGAAGCAGGCUUGGAAGCUGCUUAACUCCCAGGUUUUACCCACUGACCAGUACAUGGCCAGAGAGCAAGGCAGAAAAGUCAGUCAAGAAACUAAAUUUCUGGGUGCUCUUAGGACAACUGCAUGUUCUACCCUGCCUUCCUCCUCCAGACCUUAUGCAAGCUGGAUUAUGGUGUGCUGUACUCUGCACCCCUCCCACAUCAAUUCAUGUUAUAUCUUUGUUACACUGAGCAGAGUGGUUGAGGAAUAUUUGUCCUGGUUCUGAAAUACCAGCUCACCUCAGCAGAGCAACAUGGCUUCUCUUUGUCACCCUUUCUUUCCUGCCUGAACCCCUGUCAGAAGACUUCUGUACAGAAAACACUGUCAAACUUCUCGCAUAUGUAGAAGAAAUAAGCACAAGGUUAGUUCAAAUAUUUUAAAAUCUGUGGGAUGGGCAAAGUAAAUAUAACUGCUUAGGAAAAGGUCCAACACACAAUGUCAUCUACAGGUUGGCUGGGAAUCCUGUUUAAAUUUAGUUCUUAGACACAGCUGUGAAACUCAUGAAGCCGUCACACUGCUUGCUUACCCAGCAACCUUUAUAGUCUCUUGGGAAGGCAAUAAAAACACCAAUAGUGAGCAGUAAUUCUAACAGACUGGUUUGCUUCAUUCCUCCGGCUGCUCCUUGUCGAGCUCCUGCAACAAAAGACAUGAAGUUUUUCUUCUAGAUUGACGGGAGCAAAUUGAGAACUUCUGAGUCAUAAUAAAAAGGAGAGGAAUCUGCUCUUUAAGAAUCACAAGCAACCACAGGAAAUGUGUGACAAAAAAAGAUCUGAUUGUGCAGGUGAGUCCUGGAAAGGGAUUGUCCAUAUUAAACCUAGAGAUGGCACCAGGCUGGGAAGGGUAGAUGUAAAUAUGUUUUAGGGUAGGUUUGACAUCACCUAUCUUGAUACUACUUUGGGACAAGGGGAGCAAGAUCCCCUUCAGCUCUUCUAAUAGCUCUGUAUUCAGCCAUGGUAUCUCUGCUAGCUGAGUGCCCAGAACAUGCUCAUCUUUACAGGAUCCUGCUUUGCUAGGGAAUUGUUAUUCCAGUUUUACCA
Molecule: long non-coding RNA, 4348 nt
Organism: Pezoporus occidentalis (night parrot)
Lineage: Eukaryota; Metazoa; Chordata; Aves; Psittaciformes; Psittacidae
Exons: 3
Source: RefSeq, a predicted model, not a curated record